RNAcentral lists this ribosomal RNA (92 nucleotides) under Peromyscus maniculatus bairdii (prairie deer mouse). The record is from RNAcentral. Lineage: Eukaryota; Metazoa; Chordata; Mammalia; Rodentia; Cricetidae.
AUCUAUUGCUAUACCCCUCUUAAUGCACCUGACCUUGACUGACCUCAGAAGAUAAGCAAGGUCAGGUCUGGUUAGUACUUGGGUGGAAAAAN